Molecule: ribosomal RNA, 465 nt
Filed under: uncultured bacterium
Lineage: Bacteria
Description: bacterial SSU rRNA
Rfam family: Bacterial small subunit ribosomal RNA
Source: RNAcentral
CCUACGGGGUGCACCAGUGGGGAAUAUUGCACAAUGGGCGCAAGCCUGAUGCAGCCAUGCCGCGUGUAUGAAGAAGGCCUUCGGGUUGUAAAGUACUUUCAGCGGGGAGGAAGGUGUUGUGGUUAAUAACCGCAGCAAUUGACGUUACCCGCAGAAGAAGCACCGGCUAACUCCGUGCCAGCAGCCGCGGUAAUACGGAGGGUGCAAGCGUUAAUCGGAAUUACUGGGCGUAAAGCGCACGCAGGCGGUUGAUUGAGUCAGAUGUGAAAUCCCCGGGCUUAACCCGGGAAUUGCAUCUGAUACUGGUCAGCUAGAGUCUUGUAGAGGGGGGUAGAAUUCCAUGUGUAGCGGUGAAAUGCGUAGAGAUGUGGAGGAAUACCGGUGGCGAAGGCGGCCCCCUGGACAAAGACUGACGCUCAGGUGCGAAAGCGUGGGGAGCAAACAGGAUUAGAUACCCUCGUAGUC